GUAAUUUCAUAGAAUCUUUAGCCUUUUGUUCGAAAUACAUUGUAGUUGUUCAAUGAACUACGAGAACGGUUGUGAUAAAACGAUGGUGUGGCAGACGUGGCAGCUGACGUGGGGGAGAGUGUGUUACACUCACCAAAAAAGGAUUUAAAAUGUUAUUUUUUAGUGGGUUCAAGGAUCCAAAUAACAAACAUAUAAAUAAAAGCGUCCAACUUAUAAAACCGAUAUAAUACAAAGGUCCAAACGAUCAUUUUACUUUUUUUUUAUAAUAACCUCUAGUUGGUCUCAAAUAAAGAAAGAAACAAGUGUGGGUGACAAGAUUCAAUUCACUUUUUCUUUUUUUGUUAUUUCUAUCGAUGUUCGAUGUUAUUAAAACUCGAUUAAAUAAAGGCUCAUUUUUAGGAGAG
This is a long non-coding RNA of Capsicum annuum, 404 nucleotides long. RefSeq lists it as uncharacterized. The record is from RefSeq and is a predicted model, not a curated record. NCBI's taxonomy places the organism in Eukaryota, Viridiplantae, Streptophyta, Magnoliopsida, Solanales, Solanaceae. The transcript has 2 exons.